Molecule: unclassified non-coding RNA, 211 nt
Filed under: uncultured fungus
Lineage: Eukaryota; Fungi
Description: partial contains 5.8S ribosomal RNA, internal transcribed spacer 2, and large subunit ribosomal RNA
Source: RNAcentral
AAGGAUCAUUACCUUUCAAUGCAGCAGAAUGGGGAUGGUUGAGUUUCUCGCCUCUCUGUUCUGCCUGUAUUCUACCCUUGUUUGUCAUAUACUAUUAUUUCCUCGGCAGGCUUGCUUGCCGAGUGAAACCAAUUAUAACCUAUUUAAUUUUCAAUCAGCGUCUGAACAAAAUUAAUAAUUACAACUUUCAACAACGGAUCUCUUGGUUCUG